UAGAGGCGGCGGAGACAGGAAUGGAGCCAAGGCGGCAGAGGCGGGAGGCGGGAGGCGGGCAGCAGCA
RNAcentral lists this small RNA (67 nucleotides) under Myotis lucifugus (little brown bat). RNAcentral describes it as "GRIK4 3 prime UTR element (ENSMLUG00000022902.1)". Lineage: Eukaryota; Metazoa; Chordata; Mammalia; Chiroptera; Vespertilionidae. The record is from RNAcentral.